Molecule: long non-coding RNA, 428 nt
Organism: Monodelphis domestica (gray short-tailed opossum)
Lineage: Eukaryota; Metazoa; Chordata; Mammalia; Didelphimorphia; Didelphidae
Source: RefSeq, a predicted model, not a curated record
CUACCCUCCUCCUUUCUCAAGCCAAGCAGCUUCUUGCUUGGUGGAACUCGCUUCAAUCCCGGGUGGAAAGUCGGGGGUCGAGAAUCACGCGACCCUCACGUGACCGCCAGUGUCCUCCGCCUCCUCCUCCACCUCACCAUCUCUCAACAGCCAGGACUAGAUUUCUCUCCCCUAGCCGGCCGGCCGCCCCCUCUGAUUUUUUAAAGGAGGAGGAGACUUCAGCCAGAUCUGGCUCUGAGUUACUGCAAUGAGAAGCAAGAGGCUUAAGGUCUCCAGGCUGCAACUGUAAAAUGAGGAGGACUUAACAGACCUCAGACUACUGGAGAGCAAAUGAGAGUAAACUUGAAAAUAUACUUUGUGAAAUUUAUUUGUUCCUGGAAAGCUAUAUGUAAACCCAAUUUAUAAACUGUUUUAUAGCAAAUGCACAA